AACAUCGCGCACCUGCGGGAACCUGCGGAAGGAUCAUUACAGAGUGUAACCCCCUGUAAAAUGGGGGUACCUCCCGUCCUUUGCAGGCCCUUUAGGGUCUUUUAUACUUUGCUUCGGUGGGGUAACCCACCGGAACACUCUCAAAAAUUCUGAUUUUAAAAUUGUUCAGUCUGAGAAUUUUGAAAAUAAAUAAAAAACUUUUAACAACGGAUCU
RNAcentral lists this unclassified non-coding RNA (214 nucleotides) under soil metagenome. RNAcentral describes it as "partial contains 5.8S ribosomal RNA, internal transcribed spacer 2, and large subunit ribosomal RNA". The record is from RNAcentral.